RNAcentral lists this long non-coding RNA (4405 nucleotides) under Homo sapiens (human). RNAcentral describes it as "p53 upregulated regulator of p53 levels". Lineage: Eukaryota; Metazoa; Chordata; Mammalia; Primates; Hominidae. The record is from RNAcentral.
GUGGUGACCUGGGAAUCAAUGUGUGAGGUGGUGCUAUGUAGCAGGAACCCCUCUUGCUUUGCAAAUAGUUUUUUGUUUGUUUUCCUUUUUGCCCAAUAGAGCCCUGCUCUACUGACCCUUCAAUGUGCCCGUGUGCCUAAAUAUUCCUGGUCGUGUGAAAAGAACCCAGGUAUUAGCUGAACUAAGGAGCACAAUUCUGCAACAUUUUGGCACCCAAACACGGGGCUUGAGAAAUGACUUUUGGAUGCUACAGAGGACACCUGCAGCAUCAAAAAAAGUAAGGUAAAUGGAUUAUCUGGUAUGUUUUAGGUACAUGGGAUUGACAAAACGGUGUUCAAUCCUUUUUCGGUUGUAUUUUUGUGAAUAAUACUAAUAGUACUAAUAAUAAUACUAAUGUAUAGUUCCAAACUUUUAUGGGAUUUAAAAAAUUCUAAUGUUUGAGCAUAUACUAUCAAUCAUAAUUAUAGCUAUUAUGUUAAAUUAUUGUAAACCAUGGAGAUAACCAAAUUUAUUUGUCAAUCAUGUUUCUGACUGCAACUACCCUGGACAUUUUGUUACUCACAAACCAUUGUUGUCUUGUUUUGAUCCUAUCCUCUUCACAUGAUGUUUAUAAUCAGCUAUGGAACUUUGACAGGUGUUCUCAAAUGCAGGCUUCUGAUAACUUUGGAGAUUGUGACAUUGGAAUAAAGGAAAAACAUACAGGGCUCAUGAAAAUUGAAAUGUUCAUGGAUAGCAAGCAAAACAAGAGUUAACUGAAUGGACUGAACUAAUAGAAAACUGAAGUAAUCGUUUUAGCUUUUGCUUGGAAUAUUGCUGAUCAUUAUUUUGUUUUUCAGAGUCCAGGAAACUUAUUUUGAACUAUUUAUGACCUUUAAUAAUUGAGUAAGGUGUACUCCUGUGAACAAAAUUUGGAGCAUUAUUUGUCUCUCUCUGCCUGGCUUCUCCAGAAUUUGGAAACUAAUAUUGAGUAUUCUUAACUUAUGGCAGUAUAGUCAUUUGCAUCAGUGCAAUAAGAAUCCUUUUUCUUUUGCAACAGAAUGCAAUUGGAGAAACUGGUUGUUUUACCAGGCGUUGAUUGGAAAUGUGUGCUUCCCUUUAAGCAGUCAAGCUCAACUUGCAGAACUGAUGGGAACCCCUUGGGAAAACUGGCCUCAAAUGUUUGUCUACACAGUCCACAUACAGGGUUCUUAACCUGCGGUGAGUAAAGAAUGUCACUUUCCAACAGGCCCAGAUAUCAUAUGCUCUUGGGACCUCAAGAAGAGAGGAGUUUACCCAAUUCAUAGGUGUGUGAGGAUAAAAACCUAGGGCUGGGCUCAGCUUUAAAUGGUCUUAUCUGAGAUUCUUUGUGAAACAGAUUUUCAUGAAAGCCAAUCUAGAGGGCCUACGUAGAAAUAAUUGUUUUUGCUGCACUUUAUGCACAUAAUCAAGCCAAUUAUAAGACUAAAGUCUAUAUUGCAAGCAACACACUCCUAUUAUGAUUUGUUUUUAACAGAAAUGAGGACGAGACAGAGAGAAAUUAUGUUUCAAAACUUAUCAUCAUUAGUUUCUAGACUUAUUAUUUCUUUUUAAGUUUUUACCUACAUUUUAGACUGACCCUGCUUGUGCCUGUGAACCAACCAACAAUCUCUGGCUGCAGCUCAGAAAGGACAAAAGAGAAUGGGUAAUGUAAAAACCUGGAUCAGUAUUUUAGUUCUGAACAAUUAUCCUGCAAAUCCUGCCAGCUGAUGGGAAUAAAUAGGAUGCCCAUGAUCCGGAGGUUUACUUUUUGGGAAAGUAAAACCAAGGGAGCUAACCAAAGUAAAACCCCAUACACCCAAAUCUGAGCAAGCAUAACUAUAGCCACCAGUUAUCUGGGUGUGUCACAAGACACUCUUUUCUUUCCUUUGUUGGAGGAGAACUCAUUUCCACAGCUUCACUUUAGCAUUAUGGCUUAUGUUAAGGAGUCUAUGCAACUUCCAUGCUGAGACACGUUUUUGGUCCCAAAGUUAAUUCCAAGCUUUGUGUCAAAGGCCUAAGAAAACUGGAUCUUAGGGAUCCAGAAGCCAGACAAUAAUGAAAGUCAAAAGGCACAGCACAGGUGAGCAUGACUAAUUCCCGCUGAUUAAGCCAAGCUUCCUGUUUCAUGGAUAAAGGUCAUGCUAGUAUCCAUGGCAUAAAUGAGGUCUAGAGAACUAAAAGGCUACUGCCAGCAGGGGAGAUAGGGAGGACAUAAGACAGGGCAGCUAUUCCCAUCCCCUAGACCCCCUGUUAACAUGGAUGAAAGCCACUUUGACACCCAUGGGUGGCACCCUGUCACAGUUGGUGGGACUCAGCAAUACAGGGACAGAGGAAAGAAAGAGGAACAACUCACUUUCUCUCCCUCACACACCCUGAGUAUUUGCUAGAAAAAGAAAGGAACCAGGCACACAUGCUCCCCUAUUUCUAGAUGAGUAGCCAUUCAUCUUUAGUCUGCACCCUUUUAGAACAUGUCCUGAACCCCUGGGACUCUUCUGAAAAAAAUGCCUUCUUUUUUCCUUUUUCUUCCUCUGUCCUCUAUUCACUGGUAGGUAGGUAAUGGUGUCCCAUACCACAGAACACUUCCCUCAGAUGCAUCCUUCUAACUGGGAGGAGUUAAUUUCUCAAACCGUAGACUAAUUGGCUUAGGAUUAGGUUCAGGGGAAGGGAACACAGAAACAUGACAUGCCAGCAAAAGGGUAAAAGGUUUUUUUUCCCCGUUGGGCUUUUGGCCUCUCUCUCCCUGUGCAAACUGGUAAAAGGCGUCUGGAUUUUCUAGUUGUCCUUACCCACUGCUUGUUUCGUUUUGAUACAUAUUUUCUAAUAACCUGUUUGUCUCUUCUCACUUUUAGGCCAUCAAACUCCAGUCUGCACCUGGAGCCUUGGAUGAUGGCCUUUUUUACUGGGAACCCUGAAAUAGGCCUCUGAGGGAAAUCUGAUUGCCAUUUUCCCAAAACAGCUUCCCUGACAAUAGGAAGCAAUUAAGAUUGGUCUUCAUCCUUAUCUUUAUCCUUAUUCUAAUGGCAGUUAGAGGUACUUCUUUAGAGGGGGGAAUGAGACAGCCAAAUGCCUAGGCAGAUAAAAAGGUGUACCUGGAAAAUUUCCAACCCGUCACACAAGUGUUUACAUCAGAUGCUUUUGUGUAGAUGAGGGAAACUUCCCAGGGCUUGUCUGGGUAUGCCCACAGUGGACUGGAGCCCAAAAUGCACACUGGAGGAAGUGGAUGGAGCCACGUGGAUGUCAUGCCUUAUGCAGGGGAGGAGCCUGCUCUCUUCAGCUCCUGUGGUAAUGUGGGAAUCGAUCUGUGAGGUGAGGACCUGUUAGCAGGAACCCCUCUUGCUUUGCUGAAAGUUUUAUUUUUCUUUUUGCCCUAUAAAACCCUGUUCUACUAACCCUUCAAUAUGUCUGCAUUCCUAAAUUUUCCUGGUCAUGUGACGAGAACCUAGGUUUUAGCUGAACUAAGGAGCAAAAUUCUGCAACAUAAAGUCAAAGAAAACUAUGCCUAUAUCCAUUAAAUCAAAUGUUAAAAAGCAAAUAUAAAGAAAAAGUCUUCACAGCCCUAGAGAAAAGUGAAACAUUGUACAUAAAGAAGUAAUAAUUUGAAUGGAUUGUCAGAAACCAUGACUAGAAGACAGAGGAGCAAUAUUUUCAAAUUUCAUAGAGAAAGGAAAAAAAGAAAAGAAGAAAAAAAAGAAGACAUAAUAAAACACCUGUCAUUUUAGUAUUCUGUACCCAUUGAACAUAACCUUCAAUAGAAUGUGAAGUAGACAUAUUCAGGUGAAUAAAAAAUCAAGAGAAUAAUAGUUAUGUUCUACAUGAAAUUAUAAAGGAAAUUUCUCAGACUAGGUGGAAAUUAUACUAGUGAGAAACAGAUUUGAAGGACUAAAGGAAGAGAUGAUAGACUGACAAAGUCAAUUUUUAAAAGCCAGAUCUAACUUCUUAUUGGCUACAAGGAAUCCACUUUUAAUAUACAAAAAUAGGUAAUAAUUAAAUUGCUAGAAAAUACAUUUCAAAUAAAGAAUCAGCACAUGUAGCUUGGAGAAGAUAUAUUAACAUAAAAAGGACUUCAAUAAAAGGAGUAUUAUGAGAAGACAUUUAUGCAGCCAAAAAACACAUGAAAAAAUGCUCACCAUCACUGGCCAUCAGAGAAAUGCAAAUCAAAACCACAAUGAGAUACCAUCUCACACCAGUUAGAAUGGCAAUCAUUAAAAAGUCAGGAAACAACAGGUGCUGGAGAGGAUGUGGAGAAAUAGGAACACUUUUACACUGUUGGUGGGACUGUAAACUAGUUCAACCAUUGUGGAAGUCAGUGUGGUGAUUCCUCAGGGAUCUAGAACUGGAAAUACCAUUUGACCCAGCCAUCCCAUUACUGGGUGUAUACCCAAAGGACUAUAAAUCAUGCUUCUAUAAA